AUGGAUGAGGUCACAAGGGAUAUACAAGGAGAUAUCCCAUGGUGUAUGCUCUUUGCGAAUGAUGUGGUGCUAGUUGACGAUAGUCGAACGGGGGUAAAUAGGAAGUUAGAGUUAUGGAGACAAACCUUGGAAUCGGAAGGGUUUAGGCUUAGUAGAACUAAAACCGAGUACAUGAUGUGCGGUUUCAAUACUCCUAGGUGUGAGGAGGAGGUUAGCCUUGAUGGGCAGGUGGUACCUCAGAAGGACACCUUUCGAUAUUUGGGGUCAAUGCUGCAGGAGGAUGGGGGUAUUGAUGAAGAUGUGAACCAUCGAAUCAAAGCCGGAUGGAUGAAGUGGCGCCAAGCUUCUGGCAUUCUCUGUGACAAGAGAGUGCCACAAAAGCUAAAAGGCAAGUUCUACAGGACGGCUAUUCGACCCGCAAUGUUGUAUGGCGCUGAGUGUUGGCCGACUAAAAGGCGACAUGUUCAACAGUUAGGUGUGGCGGAAAUGCGUAUGUUGAGAUGGAUGUGUGGCCACACGAGGAAGGAUAGAGUCCGGAAUGAUGAUAUACGAGAUAGAGUUUGGGUAGCACCAAUUGAAGAGAAGCUUGUCCAACAUCGUCUGAGAUGGUUUGGGCAUAUUUAG
RNAcentral lists this ribosomal RNA (624 nucleotides) under Triticum aestivum (bread wheat). RNAcentral describes it as "partial small subunit ribosomal RNA". Lineage: Eukaryota; Viridiplantae; Streptophyta; Magnoliopsida; Poales; Poaceae. The record is from RNAcentral.